UACGGAGGGUGCAAGCGUUGUCCGGAUUUACUGGGUUUAAAGGGUGCGUAGGCGGUUAAUUAAGUCAGUGGUGAAAUAAUCUCGCUUAACGGGAAGACUGCCAUUGAUACUGGUUAACUUGAGUGUGAUUGGGGUACUCGGAAUUUAUGGUGUAGCGGUGAAAUGCAUAGAUACCAUAAGGAACACCGAUAGCGUAGGCAGGGUACCAAGUCAUUACUGACGCUGAGGCACGAAAGCGUGGGUAUCAAACAGG
This 253-nucleotide ribosomal RNA is filed under the name uncultured bacterium. Its description in RNAcentral is "partial 16S ribosomal RNA". It matches the Rfam family "Bacterial small subunit ribosomal RNA", at positions 524 to 776 of the family's 1533-position model. The record is from RNAcentral.